GACGAACGCUGGCGGCGUGCUUAACACAUGCAAGUCGAACGGACAGGCCCUGCUUUUGUGCGGUUCUCGAGUGCCGAACGCGUGAGUGACACAUGUGUAACCUCCCCUUGACUUUGGGAUAUCUUCUGGAAACUGGGGCUAAUACCGCAUAUAAGCUCCUGCUGCAUGGUGUUGGUUGGAAAGUUUCGGCGGUUGUGGAUGGACUCGCGGGUUAUCCGCUUGUUGGUGGGGUAGUUGCUUACCAAGGGUUUGACGGGUAGCCGGCCUGGGAGGGUGACCGGCCACCAUGGUACUGAGAUACGGACCAGACGCGUACGGGAGGCAGUGGGCGGAAGUAUGGCGCAACGAGCGGGAGCCAGAGGCAGAGGCGCCGGGUGCGUGAUGACGGCCUUCGAGGGGUAAACCGCUUUCGCCGGUGACGUAGCGGGAGUGACGGUAAUUGGUAAAGAAGCAACGGCUAACUACGUG
Molecule: ribosomal RNA, 468 nt
Filed under: uncultured bacterium
Lineage: Bacteria
Description: partial 16S ribosomal RNA
Rfam family: Bacterial small subunit ribosomal RNA
Source: RNAcentral